Molecule: ribosomal RNA, 255 nt
Filed under: Staphylococcus aureus
Lineage: Bacteria; Bacillati; Bacillota; Bacilli; Caryophanales; Staphylococcaceae
Description: partial 23S ribosomal RNA
Rfam family: Bacterial large subunit ribosomal RNA
Source: RNAcentral
CCUGAGUACGACGGAGCACGUGAAAUUCCGUCGGAAUCUGGGAGGACCAUCUCCUAAGGCUAAAUACUCUCUAGUGACCGAUAGUGAACCAGUACCGUGAGGGAAAGGUGAAAAGCACCCCGGAAGGAGAGUGAAAUAGAACCUGAAACCGUGUGCUUACAAGUAGUCAGAGCCCGUUAAUGGGUGAUGGCGUGCCUUUUGUAGAAUGAACCGGCGAGUUACGAUUUGAUGCAAGGUUAAGCAGUAAAUGUGGAG